Molecule: ribosomal RNA, 403 nt
Filed under: uncultured bacterium
Lineage: Bacteria
Description: partial 16S ribosomal RNA
Rfam family: Bacterial small subunit ribosomal RNA
Source: RNAcentral
GACGAACGCUGGCGGCGUGCCUAAUACAUGCAAGUCGAACGCAGUGGGGACGGGUGAGUAACACGUGGGUAACCUCCCAUCAGAGGGGAUAACACUUGGAAACAGGUGCUAAACCGCUACUGAUGGAUGGCCCCGCGGUGCAUUCGCUAGUUGGUGAGGCAACGGCUCACCAGGGCCACGAUGCAUAGCCGGCCUGAGAGGGUGAUCGGACACACUGGGACGGAGACACGGCCCAGACUCCUACGGGAGGCAGCAGUAGGGAAUAUUCGGCAAUAGACGGAAGUCUGACCGAGCAACGCCGCGUGAGUGAAGAAGGUUUUCGGAUCGUAAAACUCUGUUGUUAGAGAAGCGGUAUCUAACCAGAAAGCCACGGCUAACUACGUGCCAGCAGCCGCGGUAGUAC